UCUGCCAACCUAGGGUUUCCCUAUCCAAUGACCUAGUUUAAUCAACAGUUGUGGGAGGCAAGGACGAAGCAGAGGGCGAUGCUCUUUGGAGGCAGUGCGGCUCAUUCCCUCCUCAGCCAAGCACAGGACUGGGCGAAUGAAUGGGUGAAUUAAUGAAUGAGUGGAUUAAUUAAUUACCUGGGUGAAUGGAGACGGGGGAGAAAUAUAAAAAGGAGCACAGAGAUGAAUGAAUUUUGUACAUGGAUGAAUGGAUGAGUGAGUGAAUAAAUACAUUAACGGAUAUGUGGGUGGAUUAAUGAAUACACAGAGAGAUGGGUAAAUGGAUAAAUAAGCUGAGAGAAAUGGACAGACAAGAGGCUGUAGCAUGUAAGUGCGAGGAGCAUGGACUCUAGAGCCAGUCUGCUUGGGGUUGAAUCCUGGCCCUGCCACUUAGUGUGUGUUCGGGGCAAAUUACUUAACCUUUCUGUGCCUCAACUGCCUAAUCUGUAAAAUGGAAAUGCUGAUAAUUGUAUCUAUUUCAUUGAUUGCUGUGAGAAGUAAUAUACAUAAAGUGCAUAGUACAGUGCCUCACACGUAGUAAGCAUUAUUAGACAUGGCUAUUCUUACGAAGGAGAGAAGGGUGGAUGGAUGGAUGGAUGGAUGGAUGGGCUUUCAGGUGAAUACGUGAGAGGCUAAAAAGUGGGUGCAGGGAAGGGAUCCAGCACCACAAGCUGAUGGGAGUUGGAGUUCCCCAUUUGGUUCUGGGGCCAAAGGGAAAGAGUCCAGAAGGGAUUCCAAAACGUCAGAGGUGGCUCCUGGGGACUCACCAUCUCCACCACUUCGACCUCCGCGGUGAUACGUAAAUGGUACAGAAAUGUGGUCAAAUCCUUCUUCAUCUGGAUGCUAUUGUCGUCCAUCUGGGCCACAGUGAAGAUUCGCAUCUUGCACUUCCGCCAGACCUGGAGUGGUGAAGGGGACCCAGAAAGGUCCAGCCCAGGACAUCUGCAAGGGGAGACACCUUCAGUUCCCAGCACCUCAGAAUUAAGGAGGGGAUUGGAGCCCUUUCCCAGGAGCUCACGUGGAGGAGCUUCCGGAGCCCAGAAACCCCGCCCAUGGAUGUGGGCACGAGCACACAAACGCGCGGACGCUCACUCACACACACGCAUGCGCACCUUGUGGUGCCGCAGCAGGAAGGGCAGCAGCAUGAGCAUGCCGCCGUCGUGCACAAUCCACCAGACGUCGAUGCUGCCCUCCGAGAAGCGCUCCGGGUUACCAGGAAACAUGGAAACGUUCUUGGUGACCAGCAGAGCCAGGUGACCGGCCGUGGUUUCCCGGACCAGCUCUGGAGGAGACCAAAGAGAUGGCCAGACGGCCUAUUGUGAAGAUAAGCAGCCGUCAAGGAAAACGAUCAGAAGUCCAGCCCCACAUAAGGAGCAUCUUCCGUGCGCCAAGCAGUGCAAUGCUUACAAGGGCCUAUGAGUGAUUCUAGUAUGAGGUCAAUUGUGUAAUACUAUGUCAUCCUGGGCAGAUAUCUCAAACUAUUAGAACCUCAGUGUCUCCAUCUGAAAAAUGGGGGUUCUGGCCUCAUCGUGUAGUGAUGGUAUGCGGUGUGAGGAUCAAGAAAAGCAUUUUCUAACAAUGACGCUGUCUUCAAAUGGAAGAUGCUGCCUCAGUAGGUAGAGAGAGCCCUGUCCCAUCAGUGUGCAAGCAAAGGUACACUCAGAUGGGCCGUUGCUAAAGGACUUCAAGAAGCAGAUGAAAGAUUAUCCUGAAUGACCUGCCGAAUCCCUUGCAAUCUUGUGGGAGGUCUGCGAUGAAAUGAAAUGAGA
Molecule: long non-coding RNA, 1808 nt
Organism: Lagenorhynchus albirostris (white-beaked dolphin)
Lineage: Eukaryota; Metazoa; Chordata; Mammalia; Artiodactyla; Delphinidae
Exons: 4
Source: RefSeq, a predicted model, not a curated record